Molecule: ribosomal RNA, 256 nt
Filed under: uncultured bacterium
Lineage: Bacteria
Description: partial 16S ribosomal RNA
Rfam family: Bacterial small subunit ribosomal RNA
Source: RNAcentral
UACGUAGGGUGCAAGCGUUGUCCGGAAUUAUUGGGCGUAAAGAGCUCGUAGGCGGUUUGUUGCGUCGGCUGUGAAAUCCCGAGGCUCAACCUCGGGUCUGCAGUCGAUACGAGCAAACUAGAGUGUUGCAGGGGAGACUGGAAUUCCUGGUGUAGCGGUGAAAUGCGCAGAUAUCAGGAGGAACACCGGUGGCGAAGGCGGGUCUCUGGGCAACAACUGACGCUGGAGGAGCGAAAGCCGUGGGGGAGCGAACAGG